Molecule: long non-coding RNA, 728 nt
Organism: Diceros bicornis minor
Lineage: Eukaryota; Metazoa; Chordata; Mammalia; Perissodactyla; Rhinocerotidae
Exons: 3
Source: RefSeq, a predicted model, not a curated record
UGCGCUCGGGGAGGGCAGAGCCUGGUGGGACCUGGGCAGCCAGCGGUGACCUCAGAGUCCUGACGAACAAGGCCUCACCGUCUUCCUGGCUUUCUUGUGGCGGGGCCGCUGAAUACAGCCCUGGCUCCUAAGCAUGUAAUGGAUGUCACUGAGCCAUCGGAUGCUUCCUUUUCCUUCUACAACAUUGGAACGUAGAACAACGCUGUGCCCUUCACUUCGUCCUCCAACCAUCCUAGAAUGCCUCACUGGAAGGGAGUGGACAGUGUGGAACCCAGCCAGCUGGAGCUUGUCCAGUGGGUUGACCAGAUGAAUUAGAGACAAAAGAGUGUGCCUUCACCUAACAGCGGGGCUGUGUGAGGAGUCUUCAGCAUCAACUCUGACUCAGACCAGAAGUCAAACUGGGCCUUGGGAAGCCCCCCAAGAACUUUCACCCCCUGGAUCCUCUUGGUCCUGGUGAGCCAUCGUUGGUCAUCGAAACCCGUAAUUCCCAAAACCACACAAAAAAAGACUGUGCAGGGUAGCUCAAAGCAGGAGCCCCGAUCAAUGGGAAACCAUUCCUUUUUUUUAGGAGGAAAGCCCUGAACUUUGUUUUUACAAUACAAUAACCUAAUAUAUUAGGGAGAAAAGCAGCCAGAAGAUUAUUUAUUGGAAAUAUAGAAAUUAAGCUAGAGAAAGAGGGAGGGCUGUGUAAGUCAAGAGUUGGGGAAGGGCUGAGAGAAGAAAACCAG